CUUCCACCCACCCAGCCCGACACCCCUCGUCCCUCCCCCAACAGCCCUGAACGGAUAGACAGGAAGGAGGUUCGUCAUCUUCGUCGUCGCAUCCAGCAGCUGCUACAGCCAGUGCCACGUGCCUUGUAAGAUCAGCAACUACUUGAAGUCAAGGACUAUAUCAUUCUUACAAAUAAAACCUUCAGCAGUAUAUUGUGAUCAUUGACUGAUACAUGCAGAAGUUGCAGGAAUUACAGACUGCCUGCUUGCUGCUGAUCUGGGAUGUGGCUGCUUAAAGAGUGAAAUCUCAUGACCUGCAGUGGUUAUACACAGGUGCUGGUGCAAAUGGUCACUCUCCUGCCUGGCUGGAAGGUCCCUCGAUGGGGAUUUGUGGCAGCGGAUUCUCACAUUCUCUAGGUGCUGAGGAUCGUUCACUCUGAGGGAGCCAUCUGCCACAUCAUGAAGACCCUCUGGCUGUUCUAUGAAGAAACUCCCAUGACAAGGCUCUAAGGCCUCAUGCCAAAAGCCGUGAGAGGGAGCAUCUUGGAGCUGAUCCUCUAGAUCCAGCCUUCAGGGGACUGCAGACUGCAAGGCAACAGCUAACUGGGAGGCCCUGACUUGGAACCAUCCAACUACCCAACUGUGCUGCUCUGGGAUCCCUGAACCUCAGAGACUGCCCACUGGCUCUCACCAUUUAUGGAAUUGCCUUGGCUACUCAAGGGACCAGAUGUUGCCUGGGGUUGUGACCCACUGCUCCUGCAUUUAGCCUCCUGGCUGGCUGCUGCUUGCUUGGACUCAGCCCAGUACAGAUGGCAUCACUGCUAAAUCAGAGAGGAUGACACUCAGUUUCCUGGUCCUCCUUCAAGUUGCUGCUUUGUU
Long non-coding RNA from Capra hircus (goat), 858 nucleotides. RefSeq lists it as uncharacterized. The transcript is spliced from 7 exons. NCBI's taxonomy places the organism in Eukaryota, Metazoa, Chordata, Mammalia, Artiodactyla, Bovidae. The record is from RefSeq and is a predicted model, not a curated record.